AUUGAACGCUGGCGGCAGGCCUAACACAUGCAAGUCGAGCGGUAGAGAGAAGCUUGCUUCUCUUGAGAGCGGCGGACGGGUGAGUAAUGCCUAGGAAUCUGCCUGGUAGUGGGGGAUAACGUUCGGAAACGGACGCUAAUACCGCAUACGUCCUACGGGAGAAAGCAGGGGACCUUCGGGCCUUGCGCUAUCAGAUGAGCCUAGGUCGGAUUAGCUAGUUGGUGGGGUAAUGGCUCACCAAGGCGACGAUCCGUAACUGGUCUGAGAGGAUGAUCAGUCACACUGGAACUGAGACACGGUCCAGACUCCUACGGGAGGCAGCAGUGGGGAAUAUUGGACAAUGGGCGAAAGCCUGAUCCAGCCAUGCCGCGUGUGUGAAGAAGGUCUUCGGAUUGUAAAGCACUUUAAGUUGGGAGGAAGGGUUGUAGAUUAAUACUCUGCAAUUUUGACGUUACCGACAGAAUAAGCACCGGCUAACUCUGUGCCAGCAGCCGCGGUAAUACAGAGGGUGCAAGCGUUAAUCGGAAUUACUGGGCGUAAAGCGCGCGUAGGUGGUUAGUUAAGUUGGAUGUGAAAUCCCCGGGCUCAACCUGGGAACUGCAUUCAAAACUGACUGACUAGAGUAUGGUAGAGGGUGGUGGAAUUUCCUGUGUAGCGGUGAAAUGCGUAGAUAUAGGAAGGAACACCAGUGGCGAAGGCGACCACCUGGACUGAUACUGACACUGAGGUGCGAAAGCGUGGGGAGCAAACAGGAUUAGAUACCCUGGUAGUCCACGCCGUAAACGAUGUCAACUAGCCGUUGGGAGCCUUGAGCUCUUAGUGGCGCAGCU
Molecule: ribosomal RNA, 830 nt
Filed under: uncultured bacterium
Lineage: Bacteria
Description: bacterial SSU rRNA
Rfam family: Bacterial small subunit ribosomal RNA
Source: RNAcentral